This 492-nucleotide ribosomal RNA is filed under the name uncultured bacterium. RNAcentral's name for it is "partial 16S ribosomal RNA". It matches the Rfam family "Bacterial small subunit ribosomal RNA", at positions 29 to 507 of the family's 1533-position model. The record is from RNAcentral.
AGUGAACGCUGGCGGUAGGCCUAACACAUGCAAGUCGAACGGCAGCACAGUAAGAGCUUGCUCGUACGGGUGGCGAGUGGCGGACGGGUGAGGAAUACAUCGGAAUCUACUUUUUCGUGGGGGAUAACGUAGGGAAACUUACGCUAAUACCGCAUACGACCUACGGGUGAAAGCAGGGGAUCUUCGGACCUUGCGCGAUUGAAUGAGCCGAUGUCGGAUUAGCUAGUUGGCGGGGUAAAGGCCCACCAAGGCGACGAUCCGUAGCUGGUCUGAGAGGAUGAUCAGCCACACUGGAACUGAGACACGGUCCAGACUCCUACGGGAGGCAGCAGUGGGGAAUAUUGGACAAUGGGCGCAAGCCUGAUCCAGCCAUACUGCGUGGGUGAAGAAGGCCUUCGGGUUGUAAAGCCCUUUUGUUGGGAAAGAAAAGCAGCAGGUUAAUACCCCGCUGUUCUGACGGUACCCAAAGAAUAAGCACCGGCUAACUUCGUG